GUCAUUUACCCCCAUCUGUGGGUAAGGACUUGCUAUAGAGCUCUCUCUUCAUCUUUGAAGGUGCGGCCAUAGCAGCAGAUUCCUCAUCUAUGAGCAUCAUCUACCAGAGAUGAUGAUAUUCGCCUCAAAUGUCUACAAGUGACUGAAACAAUACACUGAAUGUUGGAAGAUUAAGAGUGGCUGGUGGAUGGUGGCAAGAAUCAGUGAAUGAUAAGUAAUGAUUGUCAGAUAUUCCUUGAUAAAGAGCCGGGGAUGAAUGUAACGAUUGUGGAGGUGGAAUGCUGACUGCGACAUCUGCCCCAAAGCUGGUUGAAGGAUCUCACACCAUUUUGAUUCAGACCUUCCAAGACCACACAGGGAAUCAGCAUUAAAGCUUAGGAUGGAAGUUACCUUCUUUCCCAGGUUAGAUUUUUUUUUUAUUGA
This 423-nucleotide long non-coding RNA is filed under the name Phascolarctos cinereus (koala). RNAcentral's name for it is "lncRNA (ENSPCIG00000023193.2)". The record is from RNAcentral. Lineage: Eukaryota; Metazoa; Chordata; Mammalia; Diprotodontia; Phascolarctidae.